GACGAACGCUGGCGGCGUGCUUAACACAUGCAAGUCGAACGGAAAGGCCCUGCAUUUGUGGGGUGCUCGAGUGGCGAACGGGUGAGUAACACGUGAGUAACCUGCCCUUGACUUUGGGAUAACUUCAGGAAACUGGGGCGAAUACCGGAUAGGAGCUCCUGCUGCAUGGUGGGGGUUGGAAAGUUUCGGCGGUUGGGGAUGGACUCGCGGCUUAUCAGCUUGUUGGUGGGGUAGUGGCUUACCAAGGCUUUGACGGGUAGCCGGCCUGAGAGGGUGACCGGCCACAUUGGGACUGAGAUACGGCCCAGACUCCUACGGGAGGCAGCAGUGGGGAAUAUUGCACAAUGGGCGGAAGCCUGAUGCAGCAACGCCGCGUGCGGGAUGACGGCCUUCGGGUUGUAAACCGCUUUCGCCUGUGACGAAGCGUGAGUGACGGUAAUGGGUAAAGAAGCACCGGCUAACUACGUG
RNAcentral lists this ribosomal RNA (468 nucleotides) under uncultured bacterium. RNAcentral's name for it is "partial 16S ribosomal RNA". It matches the Rfam family "Bacterial small subunit ribosomal RNA", at positions 28 to 507 of the family's 1533-position model. The record is from RNAcentral.